Molecule: long non-coding RNA, 975 nt
Filed under: Numida meleagris (helmeted guineafowl)
Lineage: Eukaryota; Metazoa; Chordata; Aves; Galliformes; Numididae
Description: lncRNA (ENSNMEG00000004541.1)
Source: RNAcentral
CUCUAGUGGGAGGUGGGGAGCGGCACGUGCCCGGGUGAAACCCGCUGGGGCAAAGCUGCGUCCCCGUUUGAAACUUGUACUGAGGUUAUUUCUGUCAGCGAGCAAUGGGAAGAGGGGAAUUAACCAAGCUGGAUGCAGCCCUUCUGCUGUGUCAGCAGCAGUGCCGAGGGAGCGCUGGGGUCCCGGUACCUGCAUCAGGGGUGGAGCUUGGCGUGGUGCUGGGGCUGGCCCUGAGCUGUUACCCACAGCCGUGGGGCAAACGGGUCGGGAAAAGCCUCUCCGUGCCUGCAGGUGAAGGGCAGCCAGGCCAUGAACAUCAUCAGUGCCAUCUUUGCGCUCCUGGGCAUCGUCGCCUUCAUCAUUGACCUCAACUUCAACGGGCUGUACCGAUCCAGCUAUGACGACGACAGCCACCUUGUCCUGCUCGCAGGGAACGGCAUCUCCAUCGUGCUGCUCAUCUUCACCAUCCUGGAGUUCUGCAUUGCUGUCGCCACUGCCAACUUCUGGUGCCGGGCAACACGCCUCAGCCCCAAUGAGGCCAUGCUGAUUGUGCCCAGCACCACCAGGGUGGACCUGGCCGUGGUGCAAGCAGAGCUGCCACAGCCGCCCAGCUACUCGGAGCUGGUAGCCCCUGAAGUAUAGCUGGGCAGAAAGGACGUCCCGGAAGCCACCUGCAGCCCCAGGGCAUCGGCACCUCCUCUUGCUGCGCUGCAGGCUGGGGCAUGCUUGUAGCCCCUGAACCUAGCCCCCUGCCCCCCCCCNNNNNNNNNNNNNNNNNNNNCCACACUUCCUGACCCCCAUCCCCCACCUCGCUCUCACCUCCUGCCUGCUCUGGGGAAGGGCUGGGGGUGGUCCUGCCCUGUUACCCCAGCCAGGUGCUGGGCGCUGCACAGCAGCCGGACUCAUUCCGUUGUCAGCUCAGCCCCUGCUGGCUUCAUUUUCUCUUGAAAAUAAAGUAAUAAAACGCUGUGGCCA